RNAcentral lists this ribosomal RNA (683 nucleotides) under Lactiplantibacillus plantarum. RNAcentral's name for it is "bacterial SSU rRNA". It matches the Rfam family "Bacterial small subunit ribosomal RNA", at positions 256 to 930 of the family's 1533-position model. Lineage: Bacteria; Bacillati; Bacillota; Bacilli; Lactobacillales; Lactobacillaceae. The record is from RNAcentral.
GGUAACGGCUCACCAUGGCAAUGAUACGUAGCCGACCUGAGAGGGUAAUCGGCCACAUUGGGACUGAGACACGGCCCAAACUCCUACGGGAGGCAGCAGUAGGGAAUCUUCCACAAUGGACGAAAGUCUGAUGGAGCAACGCCGCGUGAGUGAAGAAGGGUUUCGGCUCGUAAAACUCUGUUGUUAAAGAAGAACAUAUCUGAGAGUAACUGUUCAGGUAUUGACGGUAUUUAACCAGAAAGCCACGGCUAACUACGUGCCAGCAGCCGCGGUAAUACGUAGGUGGCAAGCGUUGUCCGGAUUUAUUGGGCGUAAAGCGAGCGCAGGCGGUUUUUUAAGUCUGAUGUGAAAGCCUUCGGCUCAACCGAAGAAGUGCAUCGGAAACUGGGAAACUUGAGUGCAGAAGAGGACAGUGGAACUCCAUGUGUAGCGGUGAAAUGCGUAGAUAUAUGGAAGAACACCAGUGGCGAAGGCGGCUGUCUGGUCUGUAACUGACGCUGAGGCUCGAAAGUAUGGGUAGCAAACAGGAUUAGAUACCCUGGUAGUCCAUACCGUAAACGAUGAAUGCUAAGUGUUGGAGGGUUUCCGCCCUUCAGUGCUGCAGCUAACGCAUUAAGCAUUCCGCCUGGGGAGUACGGCCGCAAGGCUGAAACUCAAAGGAAUUGACGGGGGCCCGCACAAGC